RNAcentral lists this unclassified non-coding RNA (448 nucleotides) under Hevea brasiliensis (rubber tree). Lineage: Eukaryota; Viridiplantae; Streptophyta; Magnoliopsida; Malpighiales; Euphorbiaceae. The record is from RNAcentral.
AGAAGUUCUACUUCUACUCAGGCAUUGCACACUAAGCCAGAGAUGAUUGUGGUGGAGGAAAGGGUGGAUAUUGAAAAGGGAGGCAAUUCAGGUUAUCCGAUCCUCUUUCUUAUCGUUCUUGCUGGACUCGUCGGGGGUCGAGUGCUAGCCCUUGUUAUUACAGUUGCAUCAUGUUCCAUGCUAAAGUUGGUCUGGAGACGUAGGAAAUGCGAAAAAUAAGCCUGCAAAUGUUUCCCCUGCAUCAGAAUCAAGCUAGGAUUUGUUCAGAGAGGAUAUUUCUUUCUUCUUUUUUGAGUGUUGUUGUGGUAUUUGCUACUGCAUACGGGACGGUUGUUCUCCAUGCGGUAAUUGUAUGGAAUUCCAAUCGUCUUGUUGGCAUUCCAAACCUGAAGGGUUAUAUCCUGAAAUGUAAAUUUUACACAUAUUCACAAAUUAUAAGUACUUCGCU